ACGCUGAUGACACUCAGAUAUACCUCUCCUCCCCAGACCUCUCCCCUGCCGUCCUGCAACAUGUCACUGCUUGCCUUUCUUCCAUCUCUGACUGGAUGUCCUUACGCUUUCUGAAACUCAAUCUCUCUAAAACUGAACUUCUUGUAUUUCCUCCUCCUUAUACUGAUCCUCCUCUCUCGCUCUCCUUUCAAGUCAGUGAUAUCCAC
Pelobates cultripes (western spadefoot toad) is the source of this 206-nucleotide non-coding RNA. The record is from the annotation of a GenBank genome assembly. NCBI's taxonomy places the organism in Eukaryota, Metazoa, Chordata, Amphibia, Anura, Pelobatidae.